GAUGAAGAACGUAGCGAAAUGCGAUAAGUAGUGUGAAUUGCAGAAUUCAGUGAAUCAUCGAAUCUUUGAACGCACAUUGCGCCCCUUGGUAUUCCAUGGGGCAUGCCUGUUCGAGCGUCAUUUGUACCUUCAAGCUUUGCUUGGUGUUGGGUGGUUGUCCAUUCUCUUGCAGAGGGACUCGCCUUAAAGUAAUUGGCAGCCAGUGUUUUGGUUUUGAAGCGCAGCACAAGUCGCGAUUCAAAGCUAUACGCCCGCUUCCACAAGCCUUUUUCACUUUUGACCUCGGAUCAGGUAGGGAUACCCGCUGAACUUAAGCAUAUCAAUAAGCGGAGGA
RNAcentral lists this unclassified non-coding RNA (334 nucleotides) under soil metagenome. Its description in RNAcentral is "partial contains 5.8S ribosomal RNA, internal transcribed spacer 2, and large subunit ribosomal RNA". The stretch from base 1 to 120 matches the Rfam family "5.8S ribosomal RNA", at positions 35 to 154 of the family's 154-position model. The record is from RNAcentral.